RNAcentral lists this ribosomal RNA (466 nucleotides) under Vreelandella stevensii. RNAcentral describes it as "partial 16S ribosomal RNA". It matches the Rfam family "Bacterial small subunit ribosomal RNA", at positions 338 to 795 of the family's 1533-position model. Lineage: Bacteria; Pseudomonadati; Pseudomonadota; Gammaproteobacteria; Oceanospirillales; Halomonadaceae. The record is from RNAcentral.
CCUACGGGUGGCUGCAGUGGGGAAUAUUGGACAAUGGGCGAAAGCCUGAUCCAGCCAUGCCGCGUGUGUGAAGAAGGCCUUCGGGUUGUAAAGCACUUUCAGUGGGGAAGAAAGCCUUGGGGCUAAUACCCUCGAGGAAGGACAUCACCCACAGAAGAAGCACCGGCUAACUCCGUGCCAGCAGCCGCGGUAAUACGGAGGGGUGCGAGCGUUAAUCGGAAUUACUGGGCGUAAAGCGCGCGUAGGCGGUCUGAUAAGCCGGUUGUGAAAGCCCCGGGCUCAACCUGGGAACGGCAUCCGGAACUGUCAGGCUAGAGUGCAGGAGAGGAAGGUAGAAUUCCCGGUGUAGCGGUGAAAUGCGUAGAGAUCGGGAGGAAUACCAGUGGCGAAGGCGGCCUUCUGGACUGACACUGACGCUGAGGUGCGAAAGCGUGGGUAGCAAACAGGAUUAGAUACCCCAGUAGUC